This 274-nucleotide ribosomal RNA is filed under the name uncultured bacterium. RNAcentral describes it as "partial 16S ribosomal RNA". It matches the Rfam family "Bacterial small subunit ribosomal RNA", at positions 523 to 796 of the family's 1533-position model. The record is from RNAcentral.
AUACGGAGGGUGCAAGCGUUAAUCGGAAUUACUGGGCGUAAAGCGCGCGUAGGCGGUUUAGUAAGUCGGAUGUGAAAGCCCUGGGCUCAACCUGGGAAUUGCAUUCGAAACUGCUUAACUAGAGUAUGGUAGAGGGAAGUGGAAUUUCCGGUGUAGCGGUGAAAUGCGUAGAUAUCGGAAGGAACACCAGUGGCGAAGGCGACUUCCUGGGCCAAUACUGACGCUGAGGUGCGAAAGCGUGGGGAGCAAACAGGAUUAGAAACCCCGGUAGUCC